This 74-nucleotide transfer RNA is filed under the name Erysipelotrichaceae bacterium. Its description in RNAcentral is "tRNA-Trp". It matches the Rfam family "tRNA". Rfam says of the family: Transfer RNA (tRNA) molecules are approximately 80 nucleotides in length. Their secondary structure includes four short double-helical elements and three loops (D, anti-codon, and T loops). The record is from RNAcentral. Lineage: Bacteria; Bacillati; Bacillota; Erysipelotrichia; Erysipelotrichales; Erysipelotrichaceae.
AGGGGUAUAGUUCAAUGGUAGAGCGCCGGUCUCCAAAACCGUCGAUGUGGGUUCAACUCCUACUACCCCUGCCA